GCCCUGGUGGUGAAAUUGGUAGACACACCGGACUUAAAAUCCGUUGGCCGCAAGGCCGUGCCGGUUCGAUUCCGGCCCGGGGCACCA
This 87-nucleotide transfer RNA is filed under the name Pseudoduganella flava. RNAcentral describes it as "Massilia flava tRNA-Leu". It matches the Rfam family "tRNA". From Rfam's summary of the family: Transfer RNA (tRNA) molecules are approximately 80 nucleotides in length. Their secondary structure includes four short double-helical elements and three loops (D, anti-codon, and T loops). Lineage: Bacteria; Pseudomonadati; Pseudomonadota; Betaproteobacteria; Burkholderiales; Oxalobacteraceae. The record is from RNAcentral.